AUGGCUCAGGAUGAACGCUAGCGGCAGGCUUAACACAUGCAAGUCGAGGGGCGACGCGAGUAGCAAUACUUGGCGGCGACCGGCGCAAGGGUGCGUAACGCGUGAGCAACAUGCCCGUAUCAGGGGGAUAAUCCAGGGAAACUUGGUCUAAUACCCCAUAGUAAUUUUUGUAAGGCAUCUUAUAAGAUUUAAAGCUUUGGUGGAUACGGAUUGGCUCGCGUGACAUUAGCUGGAUGGUAAGGUAACGGCUUACCAUGGCUAUGAUGUCUAGGGGUUCUGAGAGGAAGGUCCCCCACACUGGAACUGAGACACGGUCCAGACUCCUACGGGAGGCAGCAGUGAGGAAUAUUGGACAAUGGAUGGAAAUCUGAUCCAGCCAUGCCGCGUGAAGGAAAGAAGGUCCUAUGGAUUGUAAACUUCUUUUGUAUGGGAGCAAUAAGGCCUACGAGUAGGUUGAUGAGAGUACCAUACGAAUAAGCACCGGCUAACUCCGUGCCAGCAGCAGC
RNAcentral lists this ribosomal RNA (506 nucleotides) under uncultured bacterium. RNAcentral describes it as "bacterial SSU rRNA". It matches the Rfam family "Bacterial small subunit ribosomal RNA", at positions 19 to 518 of the family's 1533-position model. The record is from RNAcentral.